This 1476-nucleotide long non-coding RNA is filed under the name Arabidopsis thaliana (thale cress). Its description in RNAcentral is "long non-coding RNA (ATHA_LNC000349)". Lineage: Eukaryota; Viridiplantae; Streptophyta; Magnoliopsida; Brassicales; Brassicaceae. The record is from RNAcentral.
UUGACUAUAAGUCUCCACCACCUCCAUACGUUUACAGUUCUCCACCACCUCCACUAUCGUAUUCGCCAUCUCCCAAGGUAGACUACAAGUCUCCACCACCUCCAUAUGUUUACAGCUCUCCACCACCACCAUAUUACUCACCAUCCCCUAAAGUCGAAUACAAAUCCCCACCACCUCCAUAUGUUUAUAGUUCUCCACCACCACCAUAUUACUCACCCUCACCUAAAGUAGAUUACAAGUCUCCACCACCACCGUAUGUUUACAGCUCCCCACCACCACCAUACUAUUCACCUUCUCCAAAGCCCACAUACAAAUCACCACCACCUCCAUAUGUUUACAAUUCUCCACCACCACCAUACUACUCACCAUCCCCUAAGGUCGAAUACAAAUCUCCACCACCUCCAUACGUCUAUAGCUCUCCACCCCCACCAUACUACUCACCCUCACCUAAAGUAGAUUAUAAGUCUCCACCACCACCGUAUGUUUACAACUCUCCACCACCACCAUACUAUUCACCUUCUCCAAAACCCACAUACAAGUCCCCACCACCACCAUAUAUUUACAGCUCUCCACCACCACCAUACUAUUCUCCUUCUCCUAAACCAGUAUACAAAUCUCCACCACCACCAUACGUCUAUUCCUCUCCACCACCACCAUACUAUUCACCUUCUCCUAAACCAGCAUACAAAUCUCCACCACCACCGUAUGUUUAUAGCUCUCCACCUCCUCCAUACUACUCGCCUUCUCCUAAACCCAUAUACAAGUCUCCACCACCACCGUACGUCUACAACUCUCCUCCACCACCAUACUACUCUCCUUCUCCAAAACCGGCAUACAAAUCUCCACCACCACCAUACGUAUACAGCUUUCCACCUCCUCCAUACUACUCGCCUUCUCCUAAACCCGUAUACAAGUCUCCACCACCACCAUACGUCUACAACUCUCCUCCACCACCAUACUACUCUCCUUCUCCAAAACCGGCAUACAAAUCUCCACCACCACCAUACGUAUACAGCUCUCCACCACCACCAUACUACUCGCCUUCUCCUAAACCAACAUACAAAUCUCCACCACCACCAUAUGUUUAUAGCUCUCCACCUCCUCCAUACUACUCGCCUUCUCCUAAACCCGUAUACAAGUCUCCACCACCACCGUACAUCUACAACUCUCCACCACCACCAUACUACUCCCCUUCACCUAAACCAUCAUACAAAUCCCCACCACCACCAUAUGUUUACAGCUCUCCACCACCACCAUAUUACUCGCCUUCUCCUAAGCUUACAUACAAAUCCUCACCACCACCCUAUGUUUACAGCUCUCCACCACCACCAUAUUACUCUCCUUCUCCUAAGGUUGUAUACAAAUCUCCACCACCACCAUAUGUUUACAGCUCUCCACCACCACCAUACUACUCCCCUUCACCUAAACCAUCAUACAAAUCCCCACCACCACCGUACGUCUAUAACUCUCCACCUC